Molecule: ribosomal RNA, 242 nt
Filed under: uncultured bacterium
Lineage: Bacteria
Description: partial 16S ribosomal RNA
Rfam family: Bacterial small subunit ribosomal RNA
Source: RNAcentral
GACAGAGGGUGCGAACGUUGUUCGGAAUUACUGGGCGUAAAGCGCAUGUAGGCGGCAGCGCAAGUCGGGCGUGAAAUCCCACGGCUCAACCGUGGAAGUGCACUCGAAACUGCGCAGCUAGAGUCCUGGAGAGGAAGGUGGAAUGCUUGGUGUAGAGGUGAAAUUCGUAGAUAUCAAGCGGAACACCGGUGGCGAAGGCGGCCUUACUGGACAGUGACUGACGCUGAGAGUGCGAAAGCGUG